AUAGUCAUGCGAGGCGAACCGGGUGAACUGAAACAUCUCAGUAGCUCGAGGAACAGACAUCAACCGAGAUUCCGAAAGUAGUGGCGAGCGAAAUCGGAGUAGCCUGCACGUUUUAGCAGUCGACUUAUCAGAACGGAAUGGAAAGUCCGGCCAUAGCGGGUGAUAGCCCUGUAUGAGAAAAGUCGGUUGUGGAACUGGGCGUGCGAAAAGUAGGGCGGGACACGUGAAAUCCUGUCUGAAGAUGGGGGGACCAUCCUCCAAGGCUAAAUACUCGUAAUCGACCGAUAGCGAACUAGUACCGUGAGGGAAAGGCGAAAAGAACCCCGGGAGGGGAGUGAAAUAGAUCCUGAAACCGCAUGCAUACAAAAAGUCGGAGCCCGCAAGGGUGACGGCGUACCUUUUGUAUAAUGGGUCAGCGACUUACAUUCAGUGGCAAGCUUAACCGAAUAGGGAAGGCGUAGGGAAACCGAGUCCGAACAGGGCGUCCAGUCGCUGGGUGUAGACCCGAAACCAAGUGAUCUAUCCAUGGCCAGGAUGAAGGUGCCGUAACAGGUACUGGAGGUCCGAACCGACUAGUGUUGCAAAACUAGCGGAUGAGCUGUGGAUAGGGGUGAAAGGCUAAACAAACUUGGAAAUAGCUGGUUCUCUCCGAAAACUAUUUAGGUAGUGCCUCAAGUAUUACCAUCGGGGGUAGAGCACUGUUUAGGCUAGGGGGUCAUGGCGACUUACCAAACCUAUGCAAACUCCGAAUACCGAAGAGUACAGCUUGGGAGACAGAGCACCGGGUGCUAACGUCCGGACUCAAGAGGGAAACAACCCAGACCGCCAGCUAAGGUCCCUAAAAUUGGCUAAGUGGGAAACGAAGUGGGAAGGCUAAAACAGUCAGGAUGUUGGCUUAGAAGCAGCCAUCAUUUAAAGAAAGCGUAAUAGCUCACUGAUCGAGUCGUCCUGCGCGGAAGAUGUAACGGGGCUAAGCCAGUUACCGAAGCUGCGGAUAAGCCUGUGAAGGUGUCUCGAGAGGGAUGCUGGAGGUAUCAGAAGUGCGAAUGCUGACAUGAGUAGCGUUAAAGGGGGUGAAAAGCCCCCUCGCCGAAAGCGCAAGGUUUCCUACGCAACGUUCAUCGGCGUAGGGUGAGUCGGCCCCUAAGGCGAGGCAGAGAUGCGUAGCUGAUGGGAAACAGGUCAAUAUUCCUGUACCGAUGUGCAGUGCGAUGUGGGGACGGAGAAGGUUAGCUCAGCCGGGUGUUGGAUGUCCCGGUUCAAGCCUGUAGUCGUGCCUGGUAGGUAAAUCCGCCGGGCUUAGAUGAGGGGUGAUAACGAGGCUGCUUGCAGCCGAAGUGAGUGAUACCCUGCUUCCAGGAAAAGCCACUAAGCUUCAGCUACACACGACCGUACCGCAAACCGACACUGGUGCGCGAGAUGAGUAUUCUCAGGCGCUUGAGAGAACUCGGGAGAAGGAACUCGGCAAAUUGACACCGUAACUUCGGAAGAAGGUGUGCCUUUAGUAGGUGAAGGGAUUUACUCCCCUAGCUCAAUGAGGUUGCAAAAAAUCGGUGUCUGCGACUGUUUAAUAAAAACACAGCACUCUGCAAACACGAAAGUGGACGUAUAGGGUGUGACGCCUGCCCGGUGCUGGAAGAUUAAAUGAUGGGGUGCAAGCUCUUGAUUGAAGUCCCAGUAAACGGCGGCCGUAACUAUAACGGUCCUAAGGUAGCGAAAUUCCUUGUCGGGUAAGUUCCGACCUGCACGAAUGGCGUAACGNUGGCCACACUGUCUCCAAUCNCCCCGCGGAAAGACGGAAAGACCCCAUGAACCUUUACUGUAGCUUUACAUUGGACUUUGAACAGAUCUGUGUAGGAUAGGUGGGAGGCUUUGAAGCGGUGCCGCUAGGUGCCGUGGAGCCAACGUUGAAAUACCACCCUGGUGUGUUUGAGGUUCUAACCUUGGCCCGUUAUCCGGGUUGGGGACAGUGUAUGGUAGGCAGUUUGACUGGGGCGGUCUCCUCCCAAAGCGUAACGGAGGAGUUCGAAGGUACGCUAGUUACGGUCGGACAUCGUGACGAUAGUGCAAUGGCAUAAGCGUGCUUAACUGCGAGACUGACAAGUCGAGCAGAUGCGAAAGCAGGACAUAGUGAUCCGGUGGUUCUGUAUGGAAGGGCCAUCGCUCAACGGANAAAAGGUACNCNGGGGAUAACAGGCUGAUACCGCCCAAGAGUUCAUAUCGACGGCGGUGUUUGGCACCUCGAUGUCGGCUCAUCNCAUCCUGGGGCUGUAGCCGGUCCCAAGGGUAUGGCUGUUCGCCAUUUAAAGAGGUACGUGAGCUGGGUUUAAAACGUCGUGAGACAGUUUGGUCCCUAUCUUCCGUGGGCGCUGCA
This 2374-nucleotide ribosomal RNA is filed under the name alkali sediment metagenome. RNAcentral's name for it is "bacterial LSU rRNA". It matches the Rfam family "Bacterial large subunit ribosomal RNA", at positions 166 to 2658 of the family's 2925-position model. The record is from RNAcentral.